GAUGAACGCUAGCGGCAGGCUUAACACAUGCAAGUCGAGGGGUAUGCCGAUUUAUCGGCAGAGACCGGCGCACGGGUGCGUAACGCGUAUGCAAUCUACCUUUCACAGAGGGAUAGCCCAGAGAAAUUUGGAUCAAUACCUCAUAGUAUAGCGGUUUCGCAUGAAACCACUAUUAAAGUUCCAACGGUGAAAGAUGAGCAUGCGUCCCAUUAGCUAGAUGGUAAGGUAACGGCUUACCAUGGCUACGAUGGGUAGGGGUCCUGAGAGGGAGAUCCCCCCACACUGGUACUGAGACACGGACCAGACUCCUACGGGAGGCAGCAGUGAGGAAUAUUGGUCAAUGGACGCAAGUCUGAACCAGCCAUGCCGCGUGCAGGAUGACGGUCCUAUGGAUUGUAAACUGCUUUGUACGAGAAGAAACAACAUUACGUGUAAUGUCUUGACGGUAUCGUAAGAAUAAGGAUCGGCUAACU
This 473-nucleotide ribosomal RNA is filed under the name uncultured bacterium. RNAcentral describes it as "bacterial SSU rRNA". It matches the Rfam family "Bacterial small subunit ribosomal RNA", at positions 28 to 502 of the family's 1533-position model. The record is from RNAcentral.